RNAcentral lists this long non-coding RNA (3489 nucleotides) under Canis lupus familiaris (dog). Its description in RNAcentral is "lncRNA (ENSCAFG00845027556.1)". Lineage: Eukaryota; Metazoa; Chordata; Mammalia; Carnivora; Canidae. The record is from RNAcentral.
UUAUUUAUGAGAGAUACAGAGAGAGACACAGAGACAUAGGCAGAGGGAGAUGCAGGCUCCAUGCAGGGAGCUGGACGUGGGACUCGAUCCUGGAUCCUGUGAGCCAGAGGAGACACUCAACCGCUGGGCCACCCAGGUGUCCCAUAUCAUGUUUUACAUUAAAAGUGUGGUUCUACUUCCUGCUGGAAAAAACAUUUCCACUUAAUGUUUAUUCACAUGAUUAAGUUACUGUGCUGUACCCUAAGACUUCCCUAGUCCUAGCCCCCUGCUUAAAACAAAAAACUGUGUGCAUUUGCCACUAAAAUUUAUUUUACUGAUAAACUACCAAAGGCCAACAAGGCAGCCGGAAAAAAAAGAAGGGCAGUAGAGAAAGGAAAAGCAUCAUGGGUGGACAUUUUAAGCCUCAUUGAAAAUGAGUUUAAAAAUGCUUUCUGAUCUAGGGGGUGACCAUCCAGGAGCACCUGGGUCUCUGUGGGUAUAUCAACUUCUCUUCAUGAGUAUUAUUUCAGAUACUGGUAAAAAUGAAAUGCUUAGAGAAAAACAAACUACUUUUGCUUUUAUGUUCAAAAAAAUUGUCACAGAAUGCUGAUGCAUUAGCUUUGGGGACAGAAUAAUUUGUGCCCCAAAGCAGGAAAAAGUAAAUGUUUUGCAAGAGCAAAAGAAAAAGAACAGAGAGUGGAGGCAGGUAUGGUUUGUCAAAAAAGAGGUGACCUUCAGAGAAGGAGGUCACGUGACCUCUCUAUGUGCCACAAACCACGGCGGCAAGAGGACAGAGCAGGACUCAGCUGUGAAAUUCCUGGUGCCCUUCCCAGUACCCAACAGACCUGCCCGGCUCCUAACACAGCCUAUGAAAUGUGAAACAAUUUAUUAAACUUAUUUAAUAAAUUUAUUAAAUUUAUUUAAUUACUAUUUUAAAAAUCGUGUGAAAAGAGUACUAGGGAGUAAAAUUUCAAGACUGUGUGCGAUCCCACAUUGAUGAGACUUUCUACACGGAUGGUGAGAAGUUCCACAGGGAGCUGGUGACAAAGCCUUCUGUAGAACACAAAGCCCAUGGUGCUUUAGGUUGCCGCCACGCCUCUGCCAAGCAGCAUGGGAUCUAAUAGGUAUUAAACACAUUUCAUGCAUUCUGAGGGAAAUGAGUUCAGUCUUUGUCUUUUCUGUGGGUUUUUCUUGAAAGAUUUUAUUUAUUUUUUCAUGAGACACACAAAGAGAGAGGCAGAGACACAGGCAGAGAGAGAAGAAGGCUCCCUGCAGAGAGCCCAAUGUGGGACUCGAUCCCAGGACCCCAGGAUCACGCCCUGAGCUGAAGGUAGAUGCUCAACCUCUGGGCCACCCAGGAGCCUCAAGUUCAGUCUUUGAAUCACAUUAAGAAUCAUCUAAGCUCUCUGCAUUUUUAACAUAACCCCUACAUAGGAGGCUCUCACAAGGACAGUCUCCCAGUUCUCUUAGUGUGAGGAUGACUCAAGGAUCAGUUUACCUCCCUAUAGCAGGGCCAGUAAGAAGGCUGGGGAUUGCCAGCCAGCCAGGAUAACUGUACCCUAAUCCCAGGCACUGAAGGUGACACUGUGCAGAAUUACCUCAGGGACAAGGGGGAAAUGCAUUUGCCUGAAUUAACACAGUGGUAAUAUGCUUUCUUCAGCUCCCUCAGGAAAUUUCUAUCAAAAAAUCUCUGUGGGGCAGCCCGGGAGGCUUAGUGGUUUAGCGCAGCCUUCAGCCCAGGGCAUGAUCCUGGAGUCCUGGGAUCCAGUCCCACGUCAGGCUCCCUGCAUGGAGUCUGCUUCUCCCUCUGCCUGUGUCUCUACCUCUCUGUCUCUCUCUACUCUCUGUGUCUCUCAUGAAUAAAUAAAUAAAAUCCUAAAAAAAAGAUCUCUGUGGCCCAGGAGAAUGAGAAAUUUACAGAAGCCCAGGAUUAGGUGAAAUCGAUCUGGCAAAUUAAGUCUGUUGUUUCCAAAGGCAGGAGCCCAGUCUUUCCAUAAGGUCAGUCCAGUGGCUGCCCAAGACAUGUUACGUGAACUAUUAGAUGCACAAAUAGAAACACAUGACUAUUUAGGAAAUCCCAAUACCAGUUCUCCUCCUAUGGGUCCCAGAUAAAAGAAUUCUGUCCCUUGCUGGAGUAGGUACUUAAUCACUUUCAAUAUGACUUAAGGUACUAGUUACUUCCCAUAAAUAUUUUUAUUACAUAAAAUACUUAUAUUAAGAAUAACAAUGGAAAAUUUUAUCUUUGCUGAAUUCUUAUAAAUAUUUUAAGUGAUGGCAACUAUAAAAUAGUCUCAAUUUUCUCUUCUGUAAAAUCAAGAAGCUGAAGUGAAAUUUGCAUCUCUAUCUUAAGCAUGCCAUGAUUUCACAUGCAAAUACAAUACAGCUUCUAGUACAGAGAACAGUCAUCAAUAAUGUUCCCAAGAUUGAUGGGGAGGCAUGAUGGCAGCUUUGCCACCUGAUCCAGAAUGAGUAAUAUCUGAGACUUAAAAUGUAAGCAAAAAGAGGCUAACACACAUUUAUAUGUGUAUUAGCAAUCACUCAAGGAGAAAAGGCCAGUUGGCUUUUUCUUUUCUUUUCUAAGAUUUUAUUUAUUCAUGAGAGACACAGAGAGACAGGCAGAGACACAACCAGAGGGAGACACAGAGAGAGGCAGACACACUGGCAGAGGGAGAACAGGCUCCCUGCAGGGAGCCCAAUGUGCGACUAGAUCCCAGGACCCCGGGAUCACGCCCUGAGACUAAGGCAGACGCUCAACCACUAAGCCAGCCAGGUGCCCUGCCAACUGGCUUAUCAAGAGGUGCAAUGAUCCUCCUAGUCAUACCUUUUGAAGAUUAAGAAACAAAAAUUGGGUGAGUUCCUAGGUCAGAACAAUCUAGAAUUCAUUUGGCCCCUACAUUCUGCAUUUCAAACCCAGACAGUCCCUGUUUGUGUCAUGUUUUGGUGAUGCCUAUCUGUCCAGCAGACAAAGAGAGAAGAGCAACCUCUGAAGUGGAAUGCUAACCAGGGUGGGUGGAAAGGUGACCCUGAACAACAAUGAGAGAGAGAAGAAAUAUUUGCUCUCUGGUUCUAAUUAACUCAGGAAACAAGUCACAAAACGUAGCCAAGAAUGGUACUCAUUGAAAAGGGAUGCUACUAGAAAAACUUUAAAGAUUAUACACAGUACUCCUUGUUAAAACAGAGCUUCAUCUACAUGAUUUGAGUUUGCAACUUAAAUUGGGAACAUUUUAAAUCAGUACAACAGGCAAAUUUCCUUUCAGAGAAGGAAAGCCAAAUUUCACAUUUGGGUAUGAAACCCUGGAAAAGCAGUAUAUAUUUUUUUUUUAAAGAAUCGUAUGUAGUAACAAUUAGAAUUUAUGUACUGUAAAUAACAGGUUUUGCAGGUUCAUUAGAGCCUAGGAUUAGAAAACCAAGUUGGCACAAAAAAUUAACACGUACUUAAUGUCAUUCAUAUAUGAAAGAUCUAUCAAUAACUUACUGGUGUCUAAAAACUCUGAAAAACUAAAACAUACC